AUAAUUUUCAUCUCUCAUCUCCCCCUGCUUACACUCCAAUUUGGGGUGUGAGAAAAAUUAGGAUUUGAGGGAUAAGGGAGAGUAAGCCUUACUCUUACUUACUCUUACCCUUCAUUAGUCCACCCCCUUUUCAAACAGGGUAUAAUAAUUACUUAUAUCUCAUUGUCUUUAUUUACCCUUCCCUCACCCCCAUCUAAACAGAGCCUUAGGUAAUAGAGGGAGAAUGAUUCGACUCUUAAAGUAUUCUCUAUGGUUAUGGGUUUCCUUUUGUUGAUCCUCUCUGGUUUAGCCAUGUCUAGGCUUGUGUUUUGCUUUGGUUGUCCUAUGUAGUGUUGUUGAUGACGUGAGUUUGCCUAUGGGCUGCUUGUGAAGGUCUGCUAGUGAUACUGCGUGGUAUAGCUUCAGUGGAGAGGUCUAGGGACCAAUUAUUUCCGGAGAUUUCUCUCUCGCAUCUCUGCUGUUUUUAUGGGCUGGCUUUAUUACCAUGGAUUUUAGGUUUUUUGGAUUGUAUUUGUUGUUUUGGACUUUACUUUUUAGCCUCCCCUUGUAGUCCCUCAAAAUUUAAUGAAAUUUUUAUUUCAUUUAAAAAAACAAAAAUCAAAUCUUAAGUAAAUUUUUUCUAAUCUUCGUCUGCUUGUCUGGGUAAGAAACUCAAUACCUAUAUCUG
Molecule: unclassified non-coding RNA, 667 nt
Filed under: Hevea brasiliensis (rubber tree)
Lineage: Eukaryota; Viridiplantae; Streptophyta; Magnoliopsida; Malpighiales; Euphorbiaceae
Source: RNAcentral